RNAcentral lists this ribosomal RNA (379 nucleotides) under uncultured eukaryote. Its description in RNAcentral is "partial 18S ribosomal RNA". It matches the Rfam family "Eukaryotic small subunit ribosomal RNA", at positions 592 to 976 of the family's 1831-position model. The record is from RNAcentral.
CAAUAGCGUAUAUUAAAGUUGUUGCGGUUAAAAAGCUCGUAGUUGGAUUUCUGUUGGGAACGACCGGUCCGCCCAUUGGGUGUGUAUCUGGCUUGUUCUCGGCAUCUUCUUGGUGAACGUUGCUGCACUUGACUGUGUGGAGCGCUACCCAGGACUUUUACUUUGAGGAAAUUAGAGUGUUUCAAGCAGGCAUAUGCCUUGAAUACAUUAGCAUGGAAUAAUAAGAUAGGACCUCGGUUCUAUUUUGUUGGUUUCUAGAGCUGAGGUAAUGAUUAAUAGGGAUAGUUGGGGCAUUCGUAUUUAACUGUCAGAGGUGAAAUUCUUGGAUUCGUUAAAGACGGACUACUGCGAAAGCAUUUGCCAAGGAUGUUUUCAUUGA